CAAUAGCGUAUAUUAAAGUUGUUGCAGUUAAAAAGCUCGUAGUUGGAGUUCUGGUGGGAGCGAUCGGUCUGGCGCUUAGCGCGAGUACUUGCAUCGUCUCCGGCCAUCCUUGGGGAGAGUCUGUCUGGCAUUAGGUUGUCGGGCAGAGGAUCCUCAUCGUUUACUGUGAAAAAAUUAGAGUGUUCAAAGCAGGCUUAUGCCGUUGAAUAUAUUAGCAUGGAAUAAUAAGAUAGGACUUUGGUACUAUUUUGUUGGUUUGCGCACCAAAGUAAUGAUUAAUAGGGACAGUUGGGGGUAUUCGUAUUCCGUUGUCAGAGGUGAAAUUCUUGGAUUUACGGAAGACGAACUACUGCGAAAGCAUUUACCAAGGAUGUUUUCAUUAA
This 383-nucleotide ribosomal RNA is filed under the name uncultured eukaryote. RNAcentral's name for it is "partial 18S ribosomal RNA". It matches the Rfam family "Eukaryotic small subunit ribosomal RNA", at positions 592 to 976 of the family's 1831-position model. The record is from RNAcentral.